UUGCCAGCCCGCUCAGAAACUCAAAGGAAGUUGACGGGGCCCGCACAAGCGGUGGAGUAUGUGGUUUAAUUCGAUGCAACGCGAAGAACCUUACCUGGUCUUGACAUCCCGGAGACCCUUAGGAAACUAGGGGGUGCUUCCAUCUGGAAGAAUCUGGAGACAGGUGCUGCAUGGCUGUCGUCAGCUCGUGUCGUGAGAUGUUGGGUUAAGUCCCGCAACGAGCGCAACCCUUGCCUUUAGUUGCCAGCAGUUCGGCUGGGCACUCUAAGGGGACUGCCGGUGUUAAACCGGAGGAAGGUGGGGAUGACGUCAAGUCCUCAUGGCCUUUAUGACCAGGGCUACACACGUACUACAAUGGCCGAUACAAAGGGCAGCGACACUGCGAGGUGAAGCCAAUCCCGUAAAAUCGGUCUCAGUCCGGAUUGGAGUCUGCAACUCGACUCCAUGAAGUUGGAAUCGCUAGUAAUCGUGGAUCAGCAUGCCACGGUGAAUACGUUCCCGGGCCUU
RNAcentral lists this ribosomal RNA (507 nucleotides) under uncultured Desulfobulbus sp. Its description in RNAcentral is "bacterial SSU rRNA". It matches the Rfam family "Bacterial small subunit ribosomal RNA", at positions 880 to 1382 of the family's 1533-position model. The record is from RNAcentral. Lineage: Bacteria; Pseudomonadati; Thermodesulfobacteriota; Desulfobulbia; Desulfobulbales; Desulfobulbaceae.